RNAcentral lists this ribosomal RNA (330 nucleotides) under uncultured eukaryote. RNAcentral's name for it is "partial 18S ribosomal RNA". It matches the Rfam family "Eukaryotic small subunit ribosomal RNA", at positions 1470 to 1796 of the family's 1831-position model. The record is from RNAcentral.
CCCUUAGAUGUUCUGGGCCGCACGCGCGCUACACUGAUGCAUUCAACGAGUCUAAAACCUGGUCUGAUAGGGCUGGGUAAUCUUUUGAAUGUGCAUCGUGAUUGGGAUAGAUGAUUGCAAUUCUUCAUCUUCAACGAGGAAUGCCUAGUAAACGCAAGUCAUCAGCUUGUAUUGAUUACGUCCCUGCCCUUUGUGCACACCGCCCGUCGCUCCUACCGAUUGAAUGUUCCGAUGAAUACCAUGGACUGAGAGUAUGAAUGGGUUCGCCUAUUUCUGCUUCUCGGGAAGUGGAGUAAAUCUUAACAUUUAGAGGAAGGAGAAGUCGUAACA